This 403-nucleotide ribosomal RNA is filed under the name uncultured bacterium. Its description in RNAcentral is "partial 16S ribosomal RNA". It matches the Rfam family "Bacterial small subunit ribosomal RNA", at positions 28 to 526 of the family's 1533-position model. The record is from RNAcentral.
GACGAACGCUGGCGGCGUUCCUAAUACAUGCAAGUCGAACGCAGUGGGGACGGGUGAGUAACCCGUGGGUAACAUCCCAUCAGAGGGGAUAACACUUGGAAACAGGUGCUAAACCGAUACUGAUGGAUGCACCCGCGGUGCAUUAGCUAGUUGGUGAGGUAACGGCUCACCAAGGCCACGAUGCAUAGUCGACCCGAGAGGGGUAGUGGCCCAAUCGGGACUGAUGACAGGGCCAGACUCCGACGGGAUGGAGCAGUAUGGAAUUUUCGGCAAUGGACCAAAGUCCGACCCAGCAACGCCGGUGGAGUUAAGAAGGUUUUCGGAUCGUAAAACUUUGUUGUUAGAGAAGAGGUAUCUAACCAGAAAGCCAACGCUAACUACGUUCCAGCAGCCGCGGUAAUAC